UUUUUCUUUUUUUUUUUUUUUUUGUCUUUUAAGGGCUGUGCUUACAGCAUAUGUAAGUUCCCAGGCUAGGGAUCGAAUUGGAGCUGUAGCUGCCGGCUUGCGCCACAGACACAGAAACACCAGAUCCGAGCUACAUUUGCAACCUACACCACAGCUCAUGGCUCAGAUCUGAGCCACAUCCACGAUCUACGCCACAGCUUGUGGCAACACUGGAUCCUUAACCCACUGAGUGAGGCCAGGGAUCAAACCCACGUUCUCAUGGAUACUAAUUGGGUUUGUAACCCACUGAACCACAGUGGGAACUUCCUUUAAUGAUUAUUCUUAAUGCUUUCUGUGAGUUAGGAGAUGGGAAAGUAAAGAUGAACUGGAGGCUUCUUUCUUGUAGAGACUCAUAGUACACAUACUGGGGUGGUGAAGAUGGCAUUAAACACCCAUAUUGCAUGUGACUGGUGCUAUAGUCAAAGUGAGCUCCAAGUAUUGAUGGAACACUCAGGGCUCAAUUGAUUCUGAUUGGGAGAGUCAGGAAAUACAUUCCUAGAAAGUGACAUUUGAGUGGGGUCUUGAGGAUGAGGUUGGGGGGGGCCAUUCCAAACUAGGCUGCGUGUUUGGGGAUUGGCUUGGCUGGGGUAAGUGGUACUGCGUUCCCUGUAGAAGAAGCAGAAGAUGGUAUGGUGAGCUCUAGACCACAAGGCCAGUCUAGAGAGCUAGUGGGGAAUCCCAUGUUCAAGGGGCAUCAUGUAAGAUAAACCUUAAGGGGAAUAGACCCUGGGAUGUGGGGUUUGGAAAUGGUAAGAGAUCAGGCUGGGAGGUAAAUUCAUGGAGAACCUUGUGUGACAUGCCAAUUUGUUUUUCCUCUCUCAUGCAAUGAGGAAAACUGGUAGCCUUUUUUUUUUUUUAGUGGAAUAGAUAUAGAUCCAUUUGAUUGAUUGUGGAGGAUAAUUUGGAGAAGAGAAUUUGAGGAAAAUAGUUCAGCAGCUAUUUGAGUAAUCUAGAUGAAAGAUAAUGAAUGUUUGAACAUGGGCUGUGAUGAAAGAGAGACGCCAGGGUUCCUGUUUUCUCAGGGCUUGUGCAUAUUUUGUGGGGGCACGAAAGAAUUGGGCUCCAAUCAAGAGCGGUAUUUUAAAUGUGCACCGUGCUUUCAAAGAACAGCUGCAACAUCAAGUCCAAUAUCUACUAAGAUACAUUCUGGGGUAGGCGUUUUUGACCAAGUGUUGGGUAUGAUUGAUCCUGUGUUGAUUUUGUCUUCCCAGAAGACUUAAGAGGGAGAUGGGGCUUCUAUGAUUGCCAUUCUGCAGAGGAAGGACCAGCUUGAGAGUCGAAGGGAUACUCAAGUCCAUGCUGCCAGGGAGGGACAGAAUCUGGACUUGAGCUUGACUUCCUCUUCUCUGGUAGCUGCUCUUUCCAGGAGACUGGGAUUAACUCCACAUGUGUCGGAACAUCAAAUGCAAGAUGAACAGGGAGAGCCUACUGAAUGAUUUCAGAAGCAGGAGAAAGACACACUGUCAAGAGCCAUCGGGGAUGUGGUUUUGGAGGAAGUGGCCUUUGGCCUGAGUCUUGAAAGCUGCAGGGUGAGGUUGGACUCCAAGAAGCAGAGGAGCUAGGCUGCUGUGUGCCCAGUGGUACCAGUGGUAAGGAAGCAUAGGUAUUAAUUACCCCCUGUCAUUUCUGGGGCAACAUAACUCUGAUUUUAAUUAAUUAGUGAAAUAUUUAUUUUGCCCUUGCUCUAUUCCAGGAACUAUCUGGGGUCAAGAGACGCUGACAUUCAUGAGGCCAGAGUCUAGCUUUGAGAAAGAGAUCAUCUGUUAGAGAUGAUAGGGCUGUGGGCCCAGGAGCCACAGGACCUGGGUCUGAAUUCUGAAACUAAUGUUCAGUAGGGUAGAUUUUUUUUUUUCUUUUUAUAGCCCCACCUGCAGCAUAAGGAAGCUCUUGGACCAGGGAAGGGGUCAAAUCGGAGCUGCAGCUGUGACCUACACCACUGCUAAUGGCCAUGCUGGAUAUUUAACCCACUAAGCAAGGCCAGGGAUUGAACCCACAUCCUUACAGAGACAACAUCAGGUCCUUUAUCCACUGAGCCACAACAGGAACUCCAUAGCUGGGUAGCUUCUAAAGUGUCCCUGAAUCUCUCUGAUCCUCAGCUUCUCCAUCUGUACAGCUCAGUUAGUGGUUUGCAAGUCACGCAGUUGUUACAAAGAGCAGAGUUAAUGUGUUAAUAUGCUUUGUACGGUUCAAAGCACAGAACAUCUACGAAAGCCCGAGCCAUUAUCAUUAUUGUUAUUGUCUGGGAUUUCUCAGUCUUGUAAGAGAGUGUGGAGAGGAAUGACUAAGUGUGAGCCAACUUCCAGAAAUCAGCUGAUGGACAAACAAAAGUCUCGAUGGCCCGGGGAGUUCUGCUGAGAGACCUGGAAGCACAGUGCUGAUGCCGGCAGGGAUCCUAGCAGUCAUCGCACUCCACUCACCGUCCACUUUACAGGAGGGAAAGCAGCUACUGCCUUGAAUCCCGCCAGAUGCUCCGAAAGCCUUGGAAGGAAUGGAUGGCCUGUCCCAGAAAUCCACAGGACACUGUGAGCAGGAAAACAAGACCAACCCCUCAGGAAGUUGUCAGACCAAAUUCUUACCUAUCACUUUAGUCAUCCAUUCAUCCAUGUGUCCAACCUGUUUGUGCUCCAAGCCAGGCAUUAGACAGGAUGCUAGUUACACAGAGCAAAAAUGAAACUACUGCCAAAACCUCCAGACACAGGGAUUUCUUCCUGCACCUUAAACAGGCAACAACACCUCCUGAAGGCCUCCUAUGUCCCCAGCGCUGUGGCAGUAGGGAAACUGAGUCAGAAACUAAGGUGGAGCCCGUACUAUGUAGCAGGUGCCUGUUCAUGGGGAAAAAGAAUCCAGGCAUCACUGAAACUGCUUCGAGUACCAGUAAGUUUGCUUUCGGCCUUAGCAUGGACCAACCUUUGGUGUUGCCUACAACGGGAAGAAUGAAUUGGCUGCAUCCAGAGCACCUGCUCAUGUGUGAAAAUGAAGAACCGCGGUGCAACUCCAGGUGGUCUCUGCCUCAGCAUCACUGCCUGAAUAUCCUUUUUCGUCUUUUUCUUUUUUAA
This 3095-nucleotide long non-coding RNA is filed under the name Sus scrofa (pig). RNAcentral describes it as "lncRNA (ENSSSCG00030049913.1)". The record is from RNAcentral. Lineage: Eukaryota; Metazoa; Chordata; Mammalia; Artiodactyla; Suidae.